UUCCAAAUGUACAGCGUUUCAAGUGAAUGAUAAUUGCAGUCAAAGUAAACAGCAGCCAAAGAGAGAAGCUUCCACACUCAAGUUGGAUACAGCUGGAUCAAUUUCCCUCAUCAGACAUGUUGGCUCAGGAUCUCACAGAACUGAGGAAGAAAAAGAAAAAGAAGAAGAAGGAGGGGGAAAAAACAGCCCCGGGGCUGGAGGACGAUAUUGUAUGCAUGUGCACUCAAGCACAAGGUUUGCGACACUCGGAGCGCCGUGACUGUUUUCAUCAAAAGAACACUUGCCUCCUUUGGAGACUCGCCCUUGCGUGGGAAGAUUUGCGGCAGGAAACGACCGCAACACAAUCUGCUGGAGCCCUCGAAACCGAGCUGCAGAAUGCAUUAUUCAAAAGGCAGCAGGCAAUCGAUACCAAGAAAUGUAACGAAAUGGGAGGGGGAGAGAUCCAGAGAGAUGGAGAGGGGGAGAGGAAGAGAGAGUAGAAGGCAUCCAAACUUCCCUGGCUAUGUCCGUCAGCAGCAGUCGUAAGUAUUAACUACUAAUCCCGGUGUGAGUUUCCCCAUCUCAACAAGGAACUUUGGCAUAGCUCACUAAUCCCCCGGAGGAGUUAAAUCCAGGACGAGCAUCAUCAAUCUUUA
Gasterosteus aculeatus aculeatus (three-spined stickleback) is the source of this 635-nucleotide long non-coding RNA. The record is from Ensembl. NCBI's taxonomy places the organism in Eukaryota, Metazoa, Chordata, Actinopteri, Perciformes, Gasterosteidae.